Molecule: long non-coding RNA, 972 nt
Filed under: Homo sapiens (human)
Lineage: Eukaryota; Metazoa; Chordata; Mammalia; Primates; Hominidae
Description: HSALNT0294748
Source: RNAcentral
UGGCCUCCCAAAGUGCUGGGAUUACAGGCAUGAGCCACUGUGCCCAGCCCUCUUGAUAAUUUUUAUUCUUGUUUCUUCUUAUCUGUGGGACUCCAAUUAGAAUGGGGUUGAGAUUGUGGCAUUCAGUUUUAUACCAAUAUUUUACCCAAGUGUGUCAUGGCCUUUUUUAAUCAUUUUAAUAUCCCCAGAAAUGCUAGAAGUGUAAAGGAAUAACAGAGGUAAAUUUGCUGUCAUUUUAUGCCACAUCCUCUUUUCUUACUUUGCUUCUUGAUACAGAUUAUAGAGGUAAUUGUGAAGACAGUUGAACCUUAGAAGAUUGAGCUAAGAUUCUUUUUUUGGCAACCUGCAAGUAAUGUUUCAUUUUUCUAUUACGUGAUCUCUUUGCCCAUACAGUUGGCAGAUGUUUUUUCCCCCUUUUUCUACCUUAAACUUUUUUGUUUGGAGUACAGUCUAAACCAACAUCAGUUAGCCUUGAUUUUCUUUCUUUUUUGGACAAUUGUCUGGUUCAUUGACAAAAGUAACAAGUUUGGAACUAAGAGAUAUGUUACAAGCUGCACUUAACACCACCUGAAAACCCAAGAAUCAUCUGAAGGUUUUGUCAGUAGUAAGAUAAAGGAGUAAAGUGAUCUACAAACUGUAACUAUCUUGAAAGAGAAAUUGAUCAUCAGAUGGUCGAGUACUCUUGGAAUGUCUCUUUGCUGUUUACUGUGGCCUCUUUACAAUGGUGAGACUUAUUUCUACCCUCUACUUUCCACUAUUAUUUUUUUCCCCUAUUGGAUAAUACUAGUCUGAGCAGCCCUAAUACUAGAUGUACCUAAACAGAGAUACAAGCCAAGUCAUUGUUCAGUGUAGUCAUUUCUUAGUAUCUGUUUAUAUUUUGUCACACAUCAGAAUGUAUAUUUUAUAGAGCAUGUGUUUGUCUACUUGUUUGUCUACUAUAAUAUGUCUUUAAUAAAGCUAAAAACAUUCUGA